AGGAGGUGGCCAAGGGAACCUGAGAAGGUGCACAAAGGUUUGUGUCCAAUACGCUCCACACCUUGUGCUACUCAGGUCCACUCAUGCCCUCCC
This 93-nucleotide microRNA precursor is filed under the name Canis lupus familiaris (dog). RNAcentral's name for it is "mir-3200 microRNA precursor family". It matches the Rfam family "mir-3200 microRNA precursor family". The record is from Rfam by way of RNAcentral. RNAcentral also lists the same sequence under 1 other name. Lineage: Eukaryota; Metazoa; Chordata; Mammalia; Carnivora; Canidae.